This 555-nucleotide small RNA is filed under the name Pongo abelii (Sumatran orangutan). RNAcentral describes it as "processed transcript". The record is from RNAcentral. Lineage: Eukaryota; Metazoa; Chordata; Mammalia; Primates; Hominidae.
AGAAUGACUUUAACUGAUAGCAUUGAACGCUGCCUGAAAAAAGGUAAGAGUGAUGAGCAACGUGCAGCCGCAGCAUUAGCAUCUGUUCUUUGUAUUCAGCUGGGCCCUGGAAUUGAAAGUGAAGAGAUUUUGAAAACUCUUGGACCAGUCCUAAAGAAAAUCAUUUGUGAUGGGUCAGCUAGUAUCCAGGCUAGGCAAACUUGUGCAACUUGCUUUGGUGUUUGCUGUUUUAUUGCCACAGAUGACAUUACUGAACUAUACUCAACUCUGGAAUGUUUGGAAAAUAUCUUCACUAAAUCCUAUCUCAAAGAGAAAGACACUACUGUUAUUUGCAGCACCCCUAAUACAGUGCUUCAUAUCAGCUCUCUUCUUGCAUGGACACUACUGCUGACCAUAUGCCCAAUCAAUGAAGUGAAGAAAAAGCUUGAGAUGACUUUUUUUAUGAAGACAUGGAGUCCUUGACGCAGAUGCUUAGGGCCUUGGCAACAGAUGGAAAUAAACACCGGGCCAAAGUAGACAAGAGAAAGCAGCGGUCAGUUUUCAGAGAUGUCCUGA